UACGGGGGGGGCAAGCGUUGUUCGGAAUUACUGGGCGUAAAGGGCUCGUAGGCGGCCAACUAAGUCGGACGUGAAAUCCCCAGGCUCAACCUGGGAAUUGCAUCCGAUACUGGAUGGCUUGAAUCCGGGAGAGGGAUGCGGAAUUCCAGGUGUAGCGGUGAAAUGCGUAGAUAUCUGGAGGAACACCGGUGGCGAAGGCGGCAUCCUGGACCGGCAUUGACGCUGAGGAGCGAAAGCCAGGGGAGCAAACGGG
Molecule: ribosomal RNA, 253 nt
Filed under: uncultured bacterium
Lineage: Bacteria
Description: partial 16S ribosomal RNA
Rfam family: Bacterial small subunit ribosomal RNA
Source: RNAcentral